RNAcentral lists this ribosomal RNA (253 nucleotides) under uncultured bacterium. RNAcentral describes it as "partial 16S ribosomal RNA". It matches the Rfam family "Bacterial small subunit ribosomal RNA", at positions 524 to 776 of the family's 1533-position model. The record is from RNAcentral.
UACGUAGGGUGCAAGCGUUAAUCGGAAUUACUGGGCGUAAAGCGUGCGCAGGAGGUUGUGCAAGACAGAUGUGAAAUCCCCGGGCUUAACCUGGGAAUUGCAUUUGUGACUGUACGGCUAGAGUGUGUCAGAGGGGGGUAGAAUUCCACGUGUAGCAGUGAAAUGCGUAGAGAUGUGGAGGAAUACCGAUGGCGAAGGCAGCCCCCUGGGAUAACACUGACGCUCAUGCACGAAAGCGUGGGGAGCAAACAGG